This 253-nucleotide ribosomal RNA is filed under the name uncultured bacterium. RNAcentral describes it as "partial 16S ribosomal RNA". It matches the Rfam family "Bacterial small subunit ribosomal RNA", at positions 524 to 776 of the family's 1533-position model. The record is from RNAcentral.
UACGGAGGGUGCAAGCGUUAUCCGGAUUCACUGGGUUUAAAGGGUUCGUAGGUGGGCAGGUAAGUCAGUGGUGAAAUCUCCGAGCUUAACUCGGAAACUGCCGUUGAUACUAUUUGUCUUGAAUAUUGUGGAGGUAAGCGGAAUAUGUCAUGUAGCGGUGAAAUGCUUAGAUAUGACAUAGAACACCAAUUGCGAAGGCAGCUUACUACACAACGAUUGACGCUGAGGCACGAAAGCGUGGGGAUCAAACAGG